Molecule: ribosomal RNA, 726 nt
Filed under: Klebsiella quasipneumoniae subsp. similipneumoniae
Lineage: Bacteria; Pseudomonadati; Pseudomonadota; Gammaproteobacteria; Enterobacterales; Enterobacteriaceae
Description: partial 23S ribosomal RNA
Rfam family: Bacterial large subunit ribosomal RNA
Source: RNAcentral
UAUAAUGGGUCAGCGACUUAUAUUCUGUAGCAAGGUUAACCGUAUAGGGGAGCCGCAGGGAAACCGAGUCUUAACUGGGCGUUAAGUUGCAGGGUAUAGACCCGAAACCCGGUGAUCUAGCCAUGGGCAGGUUGAAGGUUGGGUAACACUAACUGGAGGACCGAACCGACUAAUGUUGAAAAAUUAGCGGAUGACUUGUGGCUGGGGGUGAAAGGCCAAUCAAACCGGGAGAUAGCUGGUUCUCCCCGAAAGCUAUUUAGGUAGCGCCUCGUGAAUUCAUCUUCGGGGGUAGAGCACUGUUUCGGCUAGGGGGUCAUCCCGACUUACCAACCCGAUGCAAACUACGAAUACCGAAGAAUGUUAUCACGGGAGACACACGGCGGGUGCUAACGUCCGUCGUGAAGAGGGAAACAACCCAGACCGCCAGCUAAGGUCCCAAAGUCAUGGUUAAGUGGGAAACGAUGUGGGAAGGCACAGACAGCCAGGAUGUUGGCUUAGAAGCAGCCAUCAUUUAAAGAAAGCGUAAUAGCUCACUGGUCGAGUCGGCCUGCGCGGAAGAUGUAACGGGGCUAAACCAUGCACCGAAGCUGCGGCAGCGACACUAUGUGUUGUUGGGUAGGGGAGCGUUCUGUAAGCCUGCGAAGGUGACCUGUGAGGGUUGCUGGAGGUAUCAGAAGUGCGAAUGCUGACAUAAGUAACGAUAAAGCGGGUGAAAAGCCCGCUCGC